Molecule: ribosomal RNA, 250 nt
Filed under: uncultured bacterium
Lineage: Bacteria
Description: partial 16S ribosomal RNA
Rfam family: Bacterial small subunit ribosomal RNA
Source: RNAcentral
UACGAAGGGGGCUAGCGUUGCUCGGAAUCACUGGGCGUAAAGGGUGCGUAGGCAGGUCUUUAAGUCAGGGGUGAAAUCCUGGAGCUCAACUCCAGAACUGCCUUUGAUACUGAAGAUCUUGAGUUCGGGAGAGGUGAGUGGAACUGCGAGUGUAGAGGUGAAAUUCGUAGAUAUUCGCAGGAACACCAGUGGCGAAGGCGGCUUACUGGUCCAUUACUGACGCUGAGGUGCGAAAGCGUGGGGAGCCAAA